UAACUCCUCCUUCAAGUUUUU
RNAcentral lists this non-coding RNA (21 nucleotides) under Caenorhabditis elegans. The record is from RNAcentral. Lineage: Eukaryota; Metazoa; Nematoda; Chromadorea; Rhabditida; Rhabditidae.